AACGAACGCUGGCGGCAUGCCUAACACAUGCAAGUCGAACGGAUGCAGCAAUGCAUCAGUGGCAGACGGGUGAGUAACACGUGGGAAUCUACCCAGUAGCCUGGAAUAACCGCGGGAAACUGCGGCUAAUACCGGAUACGCCCCUCGGGGGAAAGGAGCAAUCCACUAUUGGAGGAGCCCGCGUCCGAUUAGCUAGUUGGUGAGGUAACGGCUCACCAAGGCGAUGAUCGGUAGCUGGUUUGAGAGAACGACCAGCCACACUGGGACUGAGACACGGCCCAGAAUCCUACGGGAGGCAGCAGUGGGGAAUACUGGACAAUGGGGGAAACCCUGAUCCAGCAAUGCCGCGUGGGUGAUGAAGGCCUUCGGGUUGUAAAGCCCUUUUGGCGGGGACGAUGAUGACGGUACCCGCAGAAGAAGCCCCGGCUAACUUCGUGCCAGCCGCCGCGGUAA
This 453-nucleotide ribosomal RNA is filed under the name uncultured bacterium. RNAcentral's name for it is "partial 16S ribosomal RNA". It matches the Rfam family "Bacterial small subunit ribosomal RNA", at positions 29 to 523 of the family's 1533-position model. The record is from RNAcentral.